Molecule: long non-coding RNA, 1770 nt
Filed under: Homo sapiens (human)
Lineage: Eukaryota; Metazoa; Chordata; Mammalia; Primates; Hominidae
Description: HSALNT0270600
Source: RNAcentral
CUAGCCAGCGGAACUGCCUCAGCUCCGCGGCGUUUCGUAAUCCGCGAUGCGACGGCUACUUCCGCCCGGGCACGUGCUCCGCCUUCUUCCCGCCCCCACCAGUGAUAUCCAAUGAGAGUGCCGCUUGGCCCGUCCUGGUUUACCCGACUCAACCUGAUAGGCCGAAACUGCGGGCGAACCAGGAAAGGGAGGCGUGGUUCGGCGGGAAUCCAUUCCAGGUUGACUCCACCAGCGAGAAUCACAGAUCGCGAUUCGUCCCCUCGCCCUGCAGGCGCCGCUGCCGCCUCGCCUCGGGCGUGGACCCUGCGGCUCGGGCCUGCGCGUGUGCACCCCGAGGUUGUCUCACUUCCUGUUCAGGGCGACCAGCGCUGCGCCCUCCCCACUCCACAGAUGAGGAAGCUGAGGUUAAAGUCACUUGCCCCAGGUCACUCCGCAAGUUGAAGCGCAACCAGGAUACUCUGGAACAGGAUGCCUGACUUCAGAGGAGAGGCGCGUAACCACCAGGCAACUGGCCCCACGAAAACAAGUCCCGCAACUUCCCUUCUUUGGCUCCUACUUGCUCCCGGAAGAAAAGCCUUAAACGGUAUUCAAGCCCUUUAGGAUCUGAUGUCCUAGGACUCCACUCUGGGCUUCCAGCCUGGGGUGGUACUGGUCCCUAGGCAUGGAAGCUCCUCCCACUGCCCCUUCCUUCACCCGGCCACCUCCUCCCACAGGUGUCUUCCUGGUACUCUUGCACAGGCCCGAGUCCCUUACCACCACGGCCUUAGCCUGCUCUCGUGCUCUCAGUAAUGUUUUCUCCAUUUGCUGCCUUUCAUUCUUUCCAGAGAUUCUUGCUCAACCCAACCAGGCCAGCCCGGGGACUAGGGACAUGUAGGGACAAUAGUCCCUGCUUCAGGCAGUUCAGGGCAGACCACAGAGAUGUGACAUUACAGACCAUUGUGAGCAGAGGCCUUGUCCCAUUCUGUGUUGCAUCCCUAAGCCAGGAACAAAGUCCAGCCCAGGCCUGGCUCCAGGGGACACGCAGUAGUAUCCUCUGGCCUGUGCAAGUGUAUCUGUAGCCUCACAUGCCACCAUGUGAGUCUGCAAUCUGUCUGUGAAUGCCCUGGUGUAGAAGCCAGGAGUUUGGAGGUGGGAGGGAGCCCUACAGAAUGAUAGCCAGUGCUAACUCCUGGGAAUGUCCAGCCACUAAGACCUGCCCACAGCCCUGCCAUGCCAAUGUCCUCCUUUUCACGGGAGCAGCUUGCACAGACUUUCAGCGCACAGCUGGCAUUGUCUUCCCAGGAGCCAUCCUGUAACCCAGGCCAGGUGAAGGGCUCCUCCCUGGGACCCCACAGCCCCGUUCCCAUCAUCCUUUUGUGGUGAUCAAGGCACCCAUCACACAGUAUUGCCAUAAACCGGGUCAGGUUAACCUUUCAUUCCCUUAGGAGCUGGGUGGGGGCAGCCAAAAGUAUUUGUAGGAGGAAGAGAGAAAGGAGGGGACAGAGCUAGGAAGAAUGGGAGGACGGUCAGAACGCCCCUGUGAAGGAAGGAGAGCACCAAGUCCCCGUGUUCUGCCUACCCUCCCCCAGACAGCAGAUCAGGAGCACCCCGCGCGCCCCCCCCCGCCCCGCCCCGCGUCGGCGCCGGCCCCCUGCAAUGGUUGGCGGUAUGGGGAGGUGAACCAAGAAGGCCAGGAGUUCAAGUGCGUGAUCCCCCACUGGGGCAUAUAGGUUACAGCCGCCAGGGCAACUGAAACUCCUCAGGCUCCAGAGGGCUGAAGUGAGUCGCCUC